Molecule: long non-coding RNA, 286 nt
Filed under: Capsella rubella
Lineage: Eukaryota; Viridiplantae; Streptophyta; Magnoliopsida; Brassicales; Brassicaceae
Description: long non-coding RNA (CRUB_LNC000878)
Source: RNAcentral
CUUAGUGUGUAAUAUCUAAGUUGGAUUCAAGCUUGUAGUCUAAGAGUUUCUCAUCCCUCUUGGAAGUACACCUCAUUCUCCCCUUCUUUCCGCUGCAUCCACUCUAUCUCGUCAUCACCCUCAUUCAUCGUCAUUCCGCUGUUUUGUUCAACAUCUAUCCAUCAUUCACCAUCAAUCUCGCCACAUCCAUUUCAAAACCAUCAAAGUGGUCCUUGGAGCAUAGAUCCACGGCAAGGAGUCUAUCAUGUGGUAUCAGAGCCACUUUGUAACCAGGUUUUGAAGUUCC